AUUGAACGCUGGCGGCAUGCCUUACACAUGCAAGUCGAACGGUAACGGGCCUUCGGGUGCCGACGAGUGGCGAACGGGUGAGUAAUACAUCGGAACGUGCCCGAUCGUGGGGAUAAAGAGGGGAAAGCUUUGCUAAUACCGCAAACGAACUACGGAUGAAAGCCGGGGAACGCAAGGGCUUGCGCGGACGGGGCGGGCGAUGGCAGAUUAGGUAGUUGGUGGGAUAAAAGCUUACCAAGCCGACGAUCUGUAGCUGGUCUGAGAGGAUGAUCAGCCACACUGGGACUGAGACACGGCCCAGACUCCUACGGGAGGCAGCAGUGGGGAAUUUUGGACAAUGGGCGCAAGCCUGAUCCAGCCAUGCCGCGUGCAGGAUGAAGGCCUUCGGGUUGUAAACUGCUUUUGUACGGAACGAAAAGCCUUCUUUUAAUACAGGAGGGUCAUGACGGUACCGUAAGAAUAAGCACCGGCUAACUACGUG
RNAcentral lists this ribosomal RNA (481 nucleotides) under uncultured bacterium. Its description in RNAcentral is "partial 16S ribosomal RNA". It matches the Rfam family "Bacterial small subunit ribosomal RNA", at positions 30 to 507 of the family's 1533-position model. The record is from RNAcentral.